GCUGGCGGCAGGCCUAACACAUGCAAGUCGAACGGAGUUAUAUUGUAGCUUGCUAUGGUAUAACUUAGUGGCAGACGGGUGAGUAAUGUAUAGGAAUCUACCUAGUAGUACGGAAUAAUUGUUGGAAACGGCAACUAAUACCGUAUACGCCCUACGGGGGAAAAAUUUAUUGCUAUUAGAUGAGCCUAUAUUAGAUUAGCUAGUUGGUGGAGUAAUAGCCUACCAAGGCAAUGAUCUAUAGCUGAUCUGAGAGGAUGAUCAGCCACACUGGAACUGAGAUACGGUCCAGACUCCUACGGGAGGCAGCAGUGGGGAAUAUUGGACAAUGGGCGAAAGCCUGAUCCAGCCAUGCCGCAUGAGUGAAGAAGGCCUUUGGGUUGUAAAGCUCUUUUAGUGAGGAAGAUAAUGACGGUACUCACAGAAGAAGUCCUGGCUAACUCCGUGCCAGCAGCCGCGGUAAUACGGAGAGGGCUAGCGUUAUUCGGAAUUAUUGGGCGUAAAGGGCGCGUAGGCGGAUUAGUAAGUUAAAAGUGAAAUCCCAAGGCUCAACCUUGGAAUUGCUUUUAAAACUGCUAAUCUAGAGAUUGAAAGAGGAUAGAGGAAUUCCUAGUGUAGAGGUGAAAUUCGUAAAUAUUAGGAGGAACACCAGUGGCGAAGGCGUCUAUCUGGUUCAAAUCUGACGCUGAGGCGCGAAGGCGUGGGGAGCAAACAGGAUUAGAUACCCUGGUAGUCCACGCUGUAAACGAUGAAUGUUAAAUAUGGGAAGUUUUACUUUCUGUAUUACAGCUAACGCGUUAAACAUUCCGCCUGGGGACUACNGUCGCAAGAUUAAAACUCAAAGGAAUUGACGGGGACCCGCACAAGCGGUGG
Molecule: ribosomal RNA, 870 nt
Filed under: uncultured bacterium
Lineage: Bacteria
Description: bacterial SSU rRNA
Rfam family: Bacterial small subunit ribosomal RNA
Source: RNAcentral